AGAGUUUGAUCAUGGCUCAGAACGAACGCUGGUAGCGUGGAUUAGGCAUGCAAGUCGAACGGGAUCGGCCGGUUAGCAAUAAUCGGCCGUGAGAGUGGCGGACUGGGGAGGAACACGUGAGCAACCUGCCCCCGGGACGGGGGAAAACCUCUGGAAACGGAGGCUAAUACCGGAUGUGGCGCCUGGCGGCAUCGCCGGAGCGUCAAAGGGGGCCCGCAAGGGCUCUCGCCUGGGGGAGGGGCUCGCGCACCAUCAGCUUGUUGGCGGGGUAACGGCCCACCAAGGCUUACGGUUAGCUGGUCUGAGAGGAUGACCAGCCCCACUGGGACUGAGAUACUGCCCAGACUCCUACGGGAGGCUGCAGUCGAGGAUCAUUUGCAAUGGGCGAAAGCCUGACAAUGCGACGCUGCGUGGAGGAUGAAGGCCUUCGGGUUGUAAACUCCUGUCAUGGGGGAACAGGCGAGGGGACCUAAUACGUCCCUUAGCUGAGUGUACCCCAAGAGGAAUUGGCGGCUAACUCUGUGCCAGCCGCCGC
This 535-nucleotide ribosomal RNA is filed under the name uncultured bacterium. RNAcentral's name for it is "bacterial SSU rRNA". It matches the Rfam family "Bacterial small subunit ribosomal RNA", at positions 8 to 518 of the family's 1533-position model. The record is from RNAcentral.